GGGGCUGGGGCUCAGUGGUAGGGCGCUCGCCUGGCACGUGUGAGCCCUGGGUUCGACCCUCAGCACCA
This is a non-coding RNA of Ictidomys tridecemlineatus (thirteen-lined ground squirrel), 68 nucleotides long. NCBI's taxonomy places the organism in Eukaryota, Metazoa, Chordata, Mammalia, Rodentia, Sciuridae. The record is from Rfam.